AGAGUUUGAUCAUGGCUCAGGAUGAACGCUGGCGGCGUGCUUAACACAUGCAAGUCGAACGAUGAUCUCCAGCUUGCUGGGGGGAUUAGUGGCGAACGGGUGAGUAACACGUGAGUAACCUGCCCUUGACUCUGGGAUAAGCCUGGGAAACUGGGUCUAAUACUGGAUACGACCUUCCCACGCAUGUGGUGUUGGUGGAAAGCUUUUGUGGUUUUGGAUGGACUCGCGGCCUAUCAGCUUGUUGGUGGGGUAAUGGCCUACCAAGGCGACGACGGGUAGCCGGCCUGAGAGGGUGGACGGCCACACUGGGACUGAGACACGGCCCAGACUCCUACGGGAGGCAGCAGUGGGGAAUAUUGCACAAUGGGCGCAAGCCUGAUGCAGCGACGCCGCGUGAGGGAUGAAGGCCUUCGGGUUGUAAACCUCUUUCAGUAGGGAAGAAGCGAAAGUGACGGUACCUGCAGAAGAAGCGCCGGCUAACUACGUGCCAGCAGCCGCGGUAAUACGUAGGGCGCAAGCGUUAUCCGGAAUUAUUGGGCGUAAAGAGCUCGUAGGCGGUUUGUCGCGUCUGCCGUGAAAGUCCGGGGCUUAACUCCGGAUCUGCGGUGGGUACGGGCAGACUUGAGUGAUGUAGGGGAGACUGGAAUUCCUGGUGUAGCGGUGAAAUGCGCAGAUAUCAGGAGGAACACCGAUGGCGAAGGCAGGUCUCUGGGCAUUAACUGACGCUGAGGAGCGAAAGCAUGGGGAGCGAACAGGAUUAGAUACCCUGGUAGUCCAUGCCGUAAACGUUGGGCACUAGGUGUGGGGGGACAUUCCACGUUUUCCGCGCCGUAGCUAACGCAUUAAGUGCCCCGCCUGGGAGUACGGCCGCAAGGCUAAAACUCAAAUGAAUUGACGG
Molecule: ribosomal RNA, 898 nt
Filed under: uncultured bacterium
Lineage: Bacteria
Description: bacterial SSU rRNA
Rfam family: Bacterial small subunit ribosomal RNA
Source: RNAcentral